This 498-nucleotide ribosomal RNA is filed under the name uncultured bacterium. RNAcentral describes it as "partial 16S ribosomal RNA". It matches the Rfam family "Bacterial small subunit ribosomal RNA", at positions 28 to 507 of the family's 1533-position model. The record is from RNAcentral.
GACGAACGCUGGCGGCGUGCCUAAUGCAUGCAAGUCGAACGAGAGCAACCGGUGCUUGCACUGGUCAUUCUAGUGGCGAACGGGUGAGUAACACGUGGGUAACCUGCCCAUCAGAGGGGGAUAACAUCCGGAAACGGAUGCUAAAACCGCAUAGGUCUUCGAACCGCAUGGUUUGAAGAGGAAAAGAGGCGCAAGCUUCUGCUGAUGGAUGGACCCGCGGUGCAUUAGCUAGUUGGUGAGGUAACGGCUCACCAAGGCCGUGAUGCAUAGCCGACCUGAGAGGGUGAUCGGCCACAUUGGGACUGAGACACGGCCCAAACUCCUACGGGAGGCAGCAGUAGGGAAUCUUCCGCAAUGGACGCAAGUCUGACGGAGCAACGCCGCGUGAGUGAAGAAGGUUUUCGGAUCGUAAAACUCUGUUGUUAGAGAAGAACAAGUGCUAGAGUAACUGUUAGCGCCUUGACGGUAUCUAACCAGAAAGCCACGGCUAACUACGUG